GAUGAACGCUGGCGGCGUGCCUAAUACAUGCAAGUCGAGCGAACGGACGAGAAGCUUGCUUCUCUGAUGUUAGCGGCGGACGGGUGAGUAACACGUGGAUAACCUACCUAUAAGACUGGGAUAACUUCGGGAAACCGGAGCUAAUACCGGAUGAUAUUUUGAACCGCAUGGUUCAAAAGUGAAAGACGGUCUUGCUGUCACUUAUAGAUGGAUCCGCGCUGCAUUAGCUAGUUGGUAAGGUAACGGCUUACCAAGGCAACGAUGCAUAGCCGACCUGAGAGGGUGAUAGGCGACACUGGAACUGAGACACGGUCCAGACUCCUACGGGAGGCAGCAGUAGGGAAUCUGCCGCAAUGGGCGAAAGCCUGACGGAGCAACGCCGCGUGAGUGAUGAAGGUCUUCGGAUCGUAAAACUCUGUUAUUAGGGAAGAACAUAUGUGUAAGGAACUGUGCACAUCUUGACGGUACCUAAUCAGAAAGCCACGGCUAACUACGUG
Molecule: ribosomal RNA, 497 nt
Filed under: uncultured bacterium
Lineage: Bacteria
Description: partial 16S ribosomal RNA
Rfam family: Bacterial small subunit ribosomal RNA
Source: RNAcentral